UUUGGGUUAGUUAAUUGCGGUCGUGUAUGUGAAGUCCACUUUACCAACUUGUGGAAACUGUACACCAACAAAAAGGAAGCAGUAAUGUAUAGGGCCACAUAUCUUCCCAUGGGGAAAGAAAGCCUCUUGUAUUUUCUCUGGCUUUUCUUAUUGCUCUUGCAGAAUCUCAGUCUCAGUAUGACUGCACCUUUGAAACUGGCUAUUGCUCAUGGAUACAGGAUACCUCUGAUCAAUUCAACUGGAUUCGCACUCAAGGAACAACUAGAAAUCAAACUACAAGACCCACUGUAGAUCAUACUUUAGGCAACAAAAGUGGUUGGUACAUUCUUAUAGAAACAGCAGUUGUUCAAGGAACUAACAGUGCAGCACGCCUGAUAUCUCCACAGAUUCCAGCCAGCUCUCCAUACUGUCUGCAGUUCUGGUAUUACAUGUAUGGUGCUCAUGUUGAUGCACUCACGAUUUAUGUUCAUAGAGGAGGAAAUCCUGAUAUACCCCUGUGGACCAAAAGCCAGACUCAAGGCAGCCAGUGGAAGUAUGGGCAGGUGCAGCUUUCUUCUUUUUCCUACCCUGUCAACAUAGUGUUUGAGGCAGUCCGUGGGCCCUUCUUUAAGGGUGACAUUGGAAUAGAUGACAUCAGAGCUGUGGCAGGAAGCUGUCCUACCACAAGUGGCUUGGCAUGUGACUUCGAGGUAGGUUUGUGUGGAUGGGAUCAGAAGACGAAAGAUGAUUUUGACUGGACCCUACAUUCUGGUCAAACAGCUACUGUGAAUACUGGACCUUCUAAUGACCAUACUCUGGGUACCUCAUCAGGUCACUAUCUGUACAUAGAGACCAGCUCUCCCCAUUAUCUUGGACAAAAGGCUCACCUUGUCAGUUCCUUGGUAACCCAGACUACCCCACAGUGCAUGUUAUUCUUCUAUAGCCUCAAUGGGGACAAUGUUGGUGCCUUGAAUAUCUACAUAAUAUCUGGUGCUGAAUUAACAAGCAGUGAUAUUCCAGUAUGGUCAAAAAGACACAACUUGGGUGAAAUCUGGUUCCCAGGUCAAACAACCAUUCAGGGUUCUUCUUCCUACAGGGUUGUAUUUGAGGGAGUAGUUGGUGCAGGCAGUCUGGGCGACAUAGCUAUUGAUGACAUCAUUGUAAGGAAUGGUAGCUGCCACCAUCAAGCUAAUAACAACUUUGAGCAUGGCUUGGGACUAUGGACUAAUCCAGGUGUAGGGGAUAACUUUGACUGGAUGUUAGGACAGGCGUCAAUGGGUGCAACUUUUUCUGGACCAAGAAUUGACCACACACUGGGUACUUCAGAAGGACACUAUCUUUUCAUUGAAUCUUCCAAACCCAUACAAGCUGAAGACACUGUCUGGCUUCAGAGCCCUGUCAUGGAACCAAACGUGGCCCUGUGCAUGUCGUUUUGGUUUAUUAAAAAUAUUGAUGAUACAGAUGUCAUUAAUGUGCUGAUGCGACCUGCAACACCAGCUAACAAAUCUUCAAUCACAGUCUGGUCGCUCAAAGAUAGUGUGCCUACAGGUUGGAUGCAUGGUCGAAUAGAUCUUUACAACAGAGCUCCAUUUUAUAUCAUAAUUGAAGUUAUAAGAGGUGAAGAUGAUCAUGGUGUCACUGCACUUGAUGAUAUCUCAUUCACAGAAUCUGAGUGUAUGGCUGAUCCUUUUUAUGCUGGGGAUGCAUUCAGUCUACCCUCUAUUCCACAGCUGGCCACUACCACUCCAGGACACUUCAGAUGAUUUUGAUUGGACUAAGAGUACAGGAGCCACCUCAUUUCAAAAUACAGCACCAGCAUUUGACCACACAUUGGGAAAUGGCACAGGUUAUUACCUUUACAUUGAGACAUCACUACCACGUCGUGCUAAUGAUACAGCUCGCUUGUUGUCACCUAAGUUGAAUGUCAGUCCAAUGAAGCUUGUCUACGAUUCUGGUAUUUAAUGUAUGGUCCAUC
RNAcentral lists this unclassified non-coding RNA (1954 nucleotides) under Pomacea canaliculata. RNAcentral describes it as "mAM and LDL-receptor class A domain-containing protein 1-like, transcript variant X2". Lineage: Eukaryota; Metazoa; Mollusca; Gastropoda; Architaenioglossa; Ampullariidae. The record is from RNAcentral.